Cavia porcellus (domestic guinea pig) is the source of this 117-nucleotide non-coding RNA. The record is from Rfam. Lineage: Eukaryota; Metazoa; Chordata; Mammalia; Rodentia; Caviidae.
AUUUAUGGCUAUACCACACAGAAUGUACCUAAAUUCAUCUGAUCUUAGAGUCUAAGAAGUGCUGGGUCUAAUUAGUAUUUGAAUGUGAGACAAAUGGAGAUUUAUUUAUUUUUGCUG